CGUUCGCGUAGCUUCAGUGGUUUCCCUCCUUUGCGUUCGUGGACACGUCGCCGCGUUCGCGUAGCUCUGGUUUCCCAUUAACCGCGUUCGCGAGUCCUCUCUCGCAUUCGUGUACCAGCCAGUCCCAGACCCCAGCCCCUUCUUCUACGCGUUCGCGAUUAGCACCUCGCGUUCGUGAUGCUUUGAUCCAUCCACCCUUCGCGAACGCGUCCCCAUUCACGCGAAUGCGAAGGGCAUUUUUGCCCAGCGAAUUUUAAAGUUUAAAACAGAACAGUAGCUCGGGAUUUAACCAUUUUUCACACGAGCUCUUCUCUCCAACACCCCAUAGACGAUUUGAAAACUCUUUUUCCUCCAUAGCUUCUUGGAUACCAUUGUUUCAGAGUUGGAUUGUAGAGGAAAGGCGGUAUUAGAGAGUUGAUUGCUAUUCUUGGACCGAGAUCACGAUACCGGAGCAGCUUUUGGACCACAACAGUAUUGAGCGGGAGCUAUUUUCAGUCCAGGGACUCACGAGGUAUUGUAGCCGGCGUUCGCAGGCCGAAGUCCCUUCUAUGCUUUCAGUUUGUUUUCUUUGUAUCGAGACAAACAUUAUGUAAUUUCAUUUCAGACUUGUUUUUAGUACUCUAUAGCAGUCCGUGAGCUAGUGACACCAGACUCUGGGUAGAAAUUUGUUUCAA
Molecule: long non-coding RNA, 674 nt
Organism: Nicotiana tabacum (common tobacco)
Lineage: Eukaryota; Viridiplantae; Streptophyta; Magnoliopsida; Solanales; Solanaceae
Source: RefSeq, a predicted model, not a curated record